Long non-coding RNA from Zootermopsis nevadensis, 502 nucleotides. RefSeq lists it as uncharacterized. Lineage: Eukaryota; Metazoa; Arthropoda; Insecta; Blattodea; Termopsidae. The record is from RefSeq and is a predicted model, not a curated record.
GUGUCUUAUAGCGAUCGAGUGGUUCGCCCUGCUUCUUUCCACUCGUGAGGUCCCCAGCUCAACUUCCAGCCCGGAGACCGGCUAACCUCAUAGGUUUAGUCACCUCUGCCAGCAGAAGCGACAUUUACCUGAGGAAGUCGUUCAGCUGCCAUUGAUCUGCAUUUGUGUUCCAGUUAUUAAAGAGAUACGUUACUGUCGUAAGAGGUCACACUGCCUCCAUCAUCAGGGCGAUGAUCGCCUCAUCCCGGAAGACAGUCAUAUUCGUUCCCGUCGCCGUUGGAACCUGAGAUUUCACUAUGUGGAUUUGCUGUCCGUACCAACAGACGAGCAGACGUCAGAUAGCAAGUACAGCACACACAAAAGUUACUCGAAUGAUUGCAUUGACUACACAGAAUUGACAAAAUUGUGUCGUGCCUGAUAGGAUCGGUUUGUUCGCAACAAGGUUAUAUCCUUGAAAUCGCCAGAUUAAAGAGAAUGUCAUUCAAAUAAAAAGUCAAAAUAA